Molecule: unclassified non-coding RNA, 354 nt
Filed under: soil metagenome
Description: partial contains 5.8S ribosomal RNA, internal transcribed spacer 2, and large subunit ribosomal RNA
Rfam family: 5.8S ribosomal RNA (bases 1-120)
Source: RNAcentral
GAUGAAGAACGUAGCGAAAUGCGAUAAGUAGUGUGAAUUGCAGAAUUCAGUGAAUCAUCGAAUCUUUGAACGCACAUUGCGCCCGCCAGUACUCUGGCGGGCAUGCCUGUCCGAGCGUCAUUUCAACCCUCGAACCCCUCCGGGGGGUCGGCGUUGGGGAUCGGCCCUCCGUUCGCGGGGGCCGUCUCCGAAAUGCAGUGGCGGUCUCGCCGCAGCCUCCCCUGCGCAGUAGCUUGCACACUCGCACCGGGAGCGCGGCGCGUCCACAGCCGUUAAACACCCAACCUUCUGGAAUGUUGACCUCGGAUCAGGUAGGAAUACCCGCUGAACUUAAGCAUAUCAAUAAGCGGAGGA